UACCUGGUUGAUCCUGCCAGUACUAUAUGCUUGUCUCAAAGCCUAAGCCAUGCAAAUGUAAGAUCAAUCAUAUGCGGUUUCGGCCGUGUAUAAUGAUAGUCUGUGAA
Molecule: non-coding RNA, 107 nt
Filed under: Naegleria gruberi
Lineage: Eukaryota; Heterolobosea; Eutetramitea; Acrasida; Naegleriidae
Description: Eukaryotic small subunit ribosomal RNA
Rfam family: Eukaryotic small subunit ribosomal RNA
Source: Rfam by way of RNAcentral